CCCUUAGAUGUCCUGGGCCGCACGCGUGCUACACUGACACUUACACCGAGUUUUUCCAAUGCCGAAAGGCCAUUGGUAAUCAGCAAUAAGUGUCGUGAUGGGGAUAGAUCUUUGGAAUUUUUGAUCUUAAACGAGGAAUUCCUAGUAAACGCAAGUCAUCAGCUUGCAUUGAUUACGUCCCUGCCCUUUGUACACACCGCCCGUCGCACCUACCGAUUGAAUGGUCCGGUGAAAUCUCCGGACUGGCGUGAGUCGGAGCAAUCUGACAAACACCGGAAAGUUGAUUAAACCUUACCAUUUAGAGGAAGGUGAAGUCGUAACA
This 322-nucleotide ribosomal RNA is filed under the name uncultured eukaryote. Its description in RNAcentral is "partial 18S ribosomal RNA". It matches the Rfam family "Eukaryotic small subunit ribosomal RNA", at positions 1470 to 1796 of the family's 1831-position model. The record is from RNAcentral.